Molecule: long non-coding RNA, 241 nt
Filed under: Setaria viridis
Lineage: Eukaryota; Viridiplantae; Streptophyta; Magnoliopsida; Poales; Poaceae
Description: long non-coding RNA (SVIR_LNC003963)
Source: RNAcentral
UUUGGAUCCGAGAGAAGAUGAUUGAGAGUGGCAGAGGAGCGCAGCUCAAUGAGUGCAGAAGCGCUCUGGCCGGAGCUUAUAACGCUCUGUUUUAUUUUUCCUAUUUUCUUUUUAUGUAAGUAGUACUCGAAAAAUAUUAAGUAAUAUGUUUGUAAAAGAAUUAUUUGGAAAUUUUUUUGACACAAGUAGAGAGAUGGCAAGCUCGCCUAGCUCAGGGGAGCUGUGAUUUAUUUUCUUUCUA